RNAcentral lists this unclassified non-coding RNA (334 nucleotides) under soil metagenome. RNAcentral's name for it is "partial contains 5.8S ribosomal RNA, internal transcribed spacer 2, and large subunit ribosomal RNA". The stretch from base 1 to 120 matches the Rfam family "5.8S ribosomal RNA", at positions 35 to 154 of the family's 154-position model. The record is from RNAcentral.
GAUGAAGAACGUAGCGAAAUGCGAUAAGUAGUGUGAAUUGCAGAAUUCAGUGAAUCAUCGAAUCUUUGAACGCACAUUGCGCCCCUUGGUAUUCCAUGGGGCAUGCCUGUUCGAGCGUCAUUUACAUCCUCAAGCACUGCUUGGUGUUGGGCGUCUGUCCCGCUCUGCGUGGACUCGCCUCAAAGGCAUUGGCAGCGGUCUUGCCAGCUUCUCGCGCAGCACAUUGCGCUUCUUGAAGCCCUGGUGGAUCAGCAUCCAUGAAGCUACAUCAUCAUUUUGACCUCGGAUCAGGUAGGGAUACCCGCUGAACUUAAGCAUAUCAAUAAGCGGAGGA